GUAGGAGUCUUACAGGUGCAGAGAAGAACUAUCCAGUCCAUAAAUUGGAAUUUCUGGCACUCAAGUGGGCCAUCGUGGAUAAGCUGCAUGACUAUUUGUAUGGGGCAACAUUUGAAGUAAGGACUGACAACAAUCCACUUACCUACAUCCAGACUACAGCUAAGCUGGAUGCCACAGGACAUAGGUGGUUGGCUGCCUUGUCAAACUACAGUUUCAGCCUGAAGUACAAGCCUGGGCCCAAGAAUGUCAGCGCAGAUGCCCUGUCCCGCAGACCUAGACUCCCC
Molecule: non-coding RNA, 284 nt
Organism: Pelobates cultripes (western spadefoot toad)
Lineage: Eukaryota; Metazoa; Chordata; Amphibia; Anura; Pelobatidae
Source: the annotation of a GenBank genome assembly